GGCAGCCCCAUUGGGCAGCCUGAUACCUGAAUGGACUGUUUUCUUAGCUCUCUUCAGGGAAUUUUGUCGGUUCAAGAAGUCAUACCCCAGCCCAAGAGAAGCCCUGGACAUCUCUCAUAAGACAUCCAAGGGACAGGGCUCCUGGGAGACCUAGGGUGAGCUGGAGAGUGAACAACAGACCCCACUGGGAAGUAAGCAGCCCUGGAUUCUGCCUCUUGCAAACUGAUUCGUUUUGAACCCUGUUUUUCUAUCUGUACAAGGGACUGUAACUCCCCUGCCCCUGCCUAGAUUCUCAUACCUGGAGACUAGGAGGGCUAAGACCCCUUCUAGAGAUAAAAAUAAAAGUCGU
This 349-nucleotide non-coding RNA is filed under the name Pan troglodytes (chimpanzee). Lineage: Eukaryota; Metazoa; Chordata; Mammalia; Primates; Hominidae. The record is from RNAcentral.